UGGGGAAUAUUGCACAAUGGGGGAAACCCUGAUGCAGCGACGCCGCGUGAACGAAGAAGGUAUUCGUAUCGUAAAGUUCUGUCCUAUGGGAAGAUAAUGACAGUACCAUAGAAGAAAGCUCCGGCUAAAUACGUGCCAGCAGCCGCGGUAAUACGUAUGGAGCGAGCGUUGUCCGGAAUUAUUGGGCGUAAAGGGUACGCAGGCGGUUUAAUAAGUCGAAUGUUAAAGAUCGGGGCUCAACCCCGUAAAGCAUUGGAAACUGAUAAACUUGAGUAGUGGAGAGGAAAGUGGAAUUCCUAGUGUAGUGGUGAAAUACGUAGAUAUUAGGAGGAAUACCAGUAGCGAAGGCGACUUUCUGGACACAAACUGACGCUGUGGUACGAAAGCGUGGGGAGCAAACAGG
Molecule: ribosomal RNA, 403 nt
Filed under: bacterium
Lineage: Bacteria
Also listed under: 1 other name
Description: partial 16S ribosomal RNA
Rfam family: Bacterial small subunit ribosomal RNA
Source: RNAcentral